ACCGGAGCUAAUACCGGAUAAUAUUUUGAACCGCAUGAUUCAAAAGUGAAAGACGGUCUUGCUGUCACCUAUAGAUGGAUCCGCGCUGCAUUAGCUAGUUGGUAAGGUAACGGCUUACCAAGGCAACGAUGCAUAGCCGACCUGAGAGGGUGAUCGGCCACCCUGGAACUGAGACACGGUCCAG
RNAcentral lists this ribosomal RNA (184 nucleotides) under uncultured Staphylococcus sp. RNAcentral's name for it is "partial 16S ribosomal RNA". It matches the Rfam family "Bacterial small subunit ribosomal RNA", at positions 156 to 334 of the family's 1533-position model. Lineage: Bacteria; Bacillati; Bacillota; Bacilli; Caryophanales; Staphylococcaceae. The record is from RNAcentral.